UACAGUAAUUGGUGCUAAGUCGAUGUGAUUGUGAUCAUUGAUUCUAUGAAAUCUACCAUUACUAAGACGUCAAAGUCUUACUGGACAUCGCUGACGUCUAUUGACAUGGGCGCAUACAAAUCGUUGGUCCGCAUCAACUUGAAAUCGUGGAUUCCCCCUGAAUAGAUGGUUCUCAUAUCUCAGAUAUGACGUUUCCAUAGCAGCUUAUUAGUUAUACAAUAAAUUUCAGUGAAAUGGAGGCUGCUGGACAAUGUGAGAGAUCUCAUCGCCUCGUUCAUAAUGGCUUUACCUACCACUUAGACUCAAGAUAUGCUAAUAAAGUUCGCAAAAGAUACGUUUGCUCAUCUCGGAUCACCCUCAAUCACUGUAGAGUUAAACUAUGGAUAAAUGCAAACGGCAGGAUGGAGGUAGAUGGUGACCAUAAUCACAGACAACCAGACAUUCAACAACGAGAGCCUGUGAUUCGAGAAUUGCAGACUCAAGCUUCACAAACUGAUUUAUAGCCGAAUGUAAUAUUUAACAAUGUUAUCAGACAAAUGCCGAAUGCCGGUAAUUUUAUUAGAGCUGAAGCUGGGAGGCAAAUCAUCCACCGCCAACGACGUCUACAACGACCUCCGCUUCUACAUACUUUCCGCGAAUUAGGACCAAUGCUAUUAGGCUAUCAACGGAUUGCAUCAAUUUAUCGGGCCGAAAUCACUGCAGACGAUGGAUCAAUAGCGUAUGUUUUUGGAAGCAAUUAUAUGCUACAGAGACUCGGUGAAGUCAGCGAAUGGCACAUAGAUGGAACUUUUCAAUGUGUACCUGAACGACCUCGAGCAGCACAACUUCUUAUUAUUCACACCCGCCGAAUGGACGUGGGGAUCCCAGCUUUGUACAUUUUGUGCAACCGCCGAACAUUACAAAUGUACACUGCUAUAUUCCGGUGGAUCUUACAACAAGUUCCAGCAAUCACUCAAAACCUUCAAACAGUUGUUUCGGAUUUCGAGGUGGCUAUUCUCAAUUCCCUGCAAACUUGCAUGCCAUGGGUUAGGCGGAGAGGUUGUUGGUUCCAUUUUGCUCGAGUACGUUGGUGGUAUCAUCAGUGUAUAAUUAAAAUCUAAUAAAAAUAUAUCGUGACAGAUGCCAUAUAGGCGUGUACCUACGAAACAUACCACAGAAAAGCCACAAGGGCGUAUAAAAAAAUUUGAUUUCUUUACUAUUAUACUUUCAAAACAUAAUUACGACAUAAUUGCGAGUCCGGAAAAAAAAUGUAUACACUCUUAUAGGCUCUGUAACGCAACAAAAUAAAUUAAAUCAUUUAAGGCUGUGACUAGGAAAUGGAACUCUCUACAGCUUGCUCCCCGCGAUGCACCAGAGCAUCGUAUACUACAAUACACCUGGGUGCUUCCAUUGGUUCCCGCUGAUAGAUUUGACGAAGCACUGGAAGUCAUAUCAAUAUUAUUGAGACCAUUGGAAGCUGCAAACGACAAUUAUUGUCUGUUCCAUCGUUAUCUUGAAAGAUUUUGGUCGCCUUUAGCAGCGAUUAUCUCUGUAUUCAAUACCCCAUUGAGAACAAACAACAUUGCAGAGGCUUUAAAUUUGCAAUUGCUUUCAAAACUUGGACCACAUCCUUCUUUUUUGAAAUUUUUACAUGAGUGACCUUUUUUUUAUUAUUAUUUUUUCUUUUUUUUUCCCUUUUUUCAGAUUUUUUCUUUUUUUUUGCAUUAAAUUGUUAUUUAUAGAUUGUCUCAUUCAAAUUAUAACGGAUGAUCUUGUUCAGUGGGAACGCUUAAAUAACGGGAUGGAUCUUGGCAGCAACAGACGCCGUAGACAGUAUCACAUGGAUGUCUUUAUUCAACGAAUUCAACAAUCUUUAGAAAGUAGGAGGUCAGAUUUU
Microplitis mediator is the source of this 1876-nucleotide long non-coding RNA. RefSeq lists it as uncharacterized. The record is from RefSeq and is a predicted model, not a curated record. NCBI's taxonomy places the organism in Eukaryota, Metazoa, Arthropoda, Insecta, Hymenoptera, Braconidae. The transcript is spliced from 5 exons.